This 396-nucleotide long non-coding RNA is filed under the name Theobroma cacao (cacao). RNAcentral's name for it is "long non-coding RNA (TCAC_LNC002653)". Lineage: Eukaryota; Viridiplantae; Streptophyta; Magnoliopsida; Malvales; Malvaceae. The record is from RNAcentral.
AACAGCAAAUUAAGAAACGACAACGCGGGACACGUGAUUUACUUUAUUGCCUGGACUUGGGAUACCCCAUCGACAGCAUGCCACGUGUCAGUACUGAAGUUGCCAGUCCAUAAGUAGGACCCACGUUUUUCUUUUUUUCUUUUUUUUCUGAAAUGAGCGCAAUUCACGCUCGUGUAAAAUAAGGCUUUGUUUUUUUUUUCCUCUCUCUCUCUGUUUCGUCGGAGGUAAUGAAAUGCGAGGAUUGUCGUUGGAAAUUAAAAUAAAAGUGGGCUGGGUUGAAGUGGAAAAGUCAGAGUCGGGUGAGGUAUGAUCUGUGUUUUGAUGGACGCCAGCUUUGAUAAGUGAUUGUUUUCCACAUGGCUUUUGCUGUGCGUUUCUAUCUUUCUUUCCUUCUUU